UCGGGAAUUUUAGGCAAUGGGCGAAAGCCUGACCCAGCAACGCCGCGUGAAGGAUGAAGUAUUUCGGUAUGUAAACUUCGAAAGAAUAGGAAGAAUAAAUGACGGUACUAUUUAUAAGGUCCGGCUAACUACGUGCCAGCAGCCGCGGUAAUACGUAGGGACCAAGCGUUGUUCGGAUUUACUGGGCGUAAAGGGCGCGUAGGCGGCAAUUCAAGUCAUCUGUGAAAUCUCCGGGCUUAACUCGGAACGGUCAGAUGAUACUGCUUUGCUAGAGUGCAGAAGGGGCAAUCGGAAUUCUUGGUGUAGCGGUGAAAUGCGUAGAUAUCAAGAGGAACACCUGAGGUGAAGACGGGUUGCUGGGCUGACACUGACGCUGAGGCGCGAAAGCCAGGGGAGCAAACGGGAUUAGAUACCCAUGUAGUCCCUGAGCGGGCUGGCAAGGCGCAU
RNAcentral lists this ribosomal RNA (447 nucleotides) under uncultured bacterium. RNAcentral's name for it is "bacterial SSU rRNA". It matches the Rfam family "Bacterial small subunit ribosomal RNA", at positions 355 to 825 of the family's 1533-position model. The record is from RNAcentral.